Molecule: ribosomal RNA, 301 nt
Filed under: uncultured bacterium
Lineage: Bacteria
Description: partial 16S ribosomal RNA
Rfam family: Bacterial small subunit ribosomal RNA
Source: RNAcentral
CAGCAGCGGUAAUACGGAGGGUGCAAGCGUUAAUCGGAAUUACUGGGCGUAAAGCGCACGCAGGCGGUCUGUCAAGUCAGAUGUGAAAUCCCCGGGCUUAACCUGGGAACUGCAUUUGAAACUGGCAGGCUAGAGUCUUGUAGAGGGGGGUAGAAUUCCAGGUGUAGCGGUGAAAUGCGUAGAGAUCUGGAGGAAUACCGGUGGCGAAGGCGGCCCCCUGGACAAAGACUGACGCUCAGGUGCGAAAGCGUGGGGAGCAAACAGGAUUAGAUACCCCAGUAGUCCCUGUCUCUUAUACACA